Molecule: long non-coding RNA, 532 nt
Organism: Glycine soja
Lineage: Eukaryota; Viridiplantae; Streptophyta; Magnoliopsida; Fabales; Fabaceae
Exons: 2
Source: RefSeq, a predicted model, not a curated record
UCAGUUCUUAUGGUUUUCUUGUUCAGUUUGUUGUUCAGUUCUUAUGGUUUUCUUAGAGUUUUAGACUAUAGUCAUGCCCUAUGCAUUCAACAAUGAACCAAAACUUGUCUCUAAAUUCACUGCAGUAAUUGGAAACUCUUACUCACCAUUAUGGCUUUUUAAUUAAAUUUGUGGCAAAUUGGUUAGUGUCCUUGUUAUCCUUCAGAGUUUUAGACUAUAGUCUUUAUGUAGAAGCUUCUUCCUUUGCUCUCUGGACAACAUUUUGGCCCUCUUAUCAUUUUCGAUCCUCAUACUUAAACUAGGGUGGUCCUGGUGGAGGGCUUGAUUUUGGUCGUGGUUCCGGUGGUUAUGGUGCACCAAUUAGUCCAAACAUUCCUUAAAUAUAAUGUUAUGUGCUCUAGUUUUUGCAAUUUUGGCUGUCAUUGGAGUUAAUAGUAGUUGUUCCCCUCUCCCAAUAGUUGCUCGAUAUGUCAGACAAUUUACUUAUUAUUCGGUUAUUUAUGCAAUAAAGAUUUUGAUUGAGUGUAUGUUA